AGUCGAGGGGCAGCACGAAUAGCAAUAUUUGGUGGCGACCGGCGGACGGGUGAGUAACGCGUAUGCAACCUACCUUUUACUGGAGGAUAGCCCGAAGAAAUUCGGAUUAAUACUCCAUAGUUUUAUGAUAUCGCAUGAUAUUAUAAAUAAAGUUUUAACGGUAAAAGAUGGGCAUGCGUGCCAUUAGUUUGUUGGUGAGGUAACGGCUCACCAAGACUACGAUGGUUAUGGGGUCUAAAAGGAUGGUCCCACACACUGGUACUGAGACACGGACCAGACUCCUACGGGAGGCAGCAGUGAGGAAUAUUGGUCAAUGGGCGCAAGCCUGAACCAGCCAUCCCGCGUGCAGGAUGACAGCCCUAGAGGUUGUAAACUGCUUUUGUAUAGGACGAAUAAGAACUACGUGUAGUUUGAUGACAGUACUGUACGAAUAAGCACCGGCUAACUCCGUGCCAGCAGCCGCGGUAAUACGGAGGGUGCAAGCGUUAUCCGGAUUUAUUAGGUUUAAAGGGUGCGUAGGCGGAAUUUUAAGUCAGUGGUAAAAGACAUUAGCUUAACUAAUGUAAGCCGUUGAAACUGGGAUUCUUGAGUUCGGUUGAGGUAGGCGGAAUGUGUUGUGUAGCGGUGAAAUGCAUAGAUAUAACACAGAACACCGAUUGCGAAGGCAGCUUACUAAGCCGUUACUGACGCUGAUGCACGAAAGCGUGGGGAUCAAACAGGAUUAGAUACCCUGGUAGUCCACGCCGUAAACGAUGAUCACUCGUUGUUGGCAAUACACCGUCAGCGACUGAGCGAAAGCAUUAAGUGAUCCACCUGGGGAGUACGUUCGCAAGAAUGAAACUCAAAGGAAUUGACGGGGGCCCGCACAAGCGGAGGAACAUGUGGUUUAAUUCGAUGAUACGCGAGGAACCUUACCUGGGCUUAAAUGUAGAGUGCAUUAUUUGGAAACAGAUAUUCCCUUCGGGGCUCUUUACAAGGUGCUGCAUGGUUGUCGUCAGCUCGUGCCGUGAGGUGUCGGGUUAAGUCCCAUAACGAGCGCAACCCCUAUCGCCAGUUGCCAGCAAGUAAUGUUGGGGACUCUGGUGAGACUGCCGGUGUAAACCGCGAGGAAGGUGGGGAUGACGUCAAAUCAGCACGGCCCUUAUGUCCAGGGCUACACACGUGUUACAAUGGUCAAUACAAUGGGCAGCCACUCGGCGACGAGGAGCUAAUCCACAAAAUUGGUCUUAGUUCGGAUCGGAGUCUGCAACUCGACUCCGUGAAGCUGGAUUCGCUAGUAAUCGUAUAUCAGCAAUGAUACGGUGAAUACGUUCCCGGGCCUUGUACACACCGCCCGUCAAGCCAUGGAAGUUGGGGGUGCCUGAAGUCCGUAACCGCAAGGA
RNAcentral lists this ribosomal RNA (1382 nucleotides) under uncultured bacterium. RNAcentral's name for it is "16S ribosomal RNA". It matches the Rfam family "Bacterial small subunit ribosomal RNA". The record is from RNAcentral.